GAAAUGCGAUAAGUAAUGUGAAUUGCAGAAUUCAGUGAAUCAUCGAAUCGUUGAACGCACCUUGCGCUCCUUGGUAUUCCUUGGAGCAUGCCUGUUUGAGUAUCAUGAAAUCUUCAAAGUAAAUCUGUUGUUAACUCAAUUGGUUUCUACUUUGGUAUUGGAGGUCUUUGCAGCUUCACACCUGCUCCUCUUUGUUCAUUAGCUGGAUCUCAGUGUUAUGCUUGGUUCCACUCGGCGUGAUAAGUUAUCUAUCGCUGAGGACACUGUAAAAGGUGGCCAAGGUAAAUGCAGAUGAACCGCUUCUAAUAGUCCAUUGACUUGGACAAUACUUUUAUGAUCUGAUCUCAAAUCAGGUAGGACUACCCGCUGAACUUAAGC
This 378-nucleotide unclassified non-coding RNA is filed under the name plant metagenome. Its description in RNAcentral is "partial contains 5.8S ribosomal RNA, internal transcribed spacer 2, and large subunit ribosomal RNA". The stretch from base 1 to 105 matches the Rfam family "5.8S ribosomal RNA", at positions 50 to 154 of the family's 154-position model. The record is from RNAcentral.